AUGGCUGUCGUCAGCUCGUGCCGUGAGGUGUUUGGUUAAGUCCAGCAACGAGCGCAACCCUUAUCAUUAGUUGCCAACACGUAAGGUGGGGACUCUAAUGAGACUGCCUAGGUUAACUAGGAGGAAGGCGAGGAUGACGUCAAGUCCGCAUGGCCUUUAUGUCCAGGGCUACACACGUGCUACAAUGGUCGGUACAGAGGGCUGCAAGACCGUAAGGUGGAGCAAAUCCCAGAAAGCCGAUCUCAGUUCAGAUUGUGGGCUGCAACUCGCCCACAUGAAGUCGGAAUUGCUAGUAAUGGCGCGUCAGCAACAGCGCCGUGAAUACGUUCCCGGGCCUUGUACACACCGCCCGUCACAUCAUGGGAGUUGGUUUUACCCAAAGUGUCUGACUCAACCGCAAGGGGAGAGGGCACCAAGGUAAUGUCGAUGACUGGGAUGAAGUCGUAACAAGGUAGCCCUACCGGAAGGUGGGGCUGGAUCACCUCCUUUUAAGGACUAUAUGUACGUCCACCCCUCCGGUGAACGACAUUAGGUUGAGCAAGCUUGUUUGUGCAUGUAUCAUCGCUUCCCUUCUCUUGUCUAAACAAGAGAUGUAGUAGAAAUACUACAUUUGUUAUCUUGAAAUUUUCGGAUAAGUAAAAGUAAGUUUAAUUAAUACAAGUAUUCAAUUAAAUCAAAGCGCAAUUUUCACUGAUGUAAAUUAGCGCUUGAAGAAUAAUUCAUAUUUAUAUUUUAACGGCGAAUUAGCAAAAUGAUUUUUGAUCAAGUUGCUAAGGGCUGUUGGUGGAUGCCUUGGCAUCGACAGACGAAGAAGGACGCGCAAACCUGCGAUAAGCUCCGGUGAGCUGGAAAGAAGCAUUGAACCGGAGAUUUCCGAAUGGGGAAACCCGG
Molecule: small RNA, 891 nt
Filed under: uncultured Chlamydiales bacterium
Lineage: Bacteria; Pseudomonadati; Chlamydiota; Chlamydiia; Chlamydiales
Description: bacterial SSU rRNA
Rfam family: Bacterial small subunit ribosomal RNA (bases 1-489)
Source: RNAcentral